UCGUCAUAUUUGGACUUCCGUAUAUUUUGUUACAGCUGUCGGCUCCACUGUCGUCGUCACUAUGAUGGUUUGGUGGUGGUGGCUGGUAUCCAACUCACCGUUAUAGUAAAGUCGGUCGGUAGGCCUGCUGGUCACCACAUUUAUUUCAAUUAUUAGUUUUUUUGGUACUUCACGGGCAGCAGCAGCGUGGCUUAUGUGGAUUUAUUUAUUCGUUUAGACAAUUUAUUUACCGGUCGGUGUCACUACUGUGAAACGUAACUGAAAAUUAGUAGUACCAAUUAGCCAAAAUACCCCCCCCCCAAAUAUCUGUCAUACUUUUAUUAUUGCAUUCUUAUAUAUUCAUUUACCGUCUCUUCUACAUCUGGAAUCCUAAAAAAUCAUUUAUGCUCACAUGUAUAUGGUUUGUGCCAUACUGGAACAUAAUUAUUAGCAACAUGGUGGUGACUAAGAGAGGAAGGAGUCAGCCAACUUGAUAUUGAUCCUACUCCUUUUUUUCCCCUUUUUUUUUUUUUGCUUUUGUUAUUACUAUCCCCUACAAAACGUCUUCAAGAUUGCUUCCUGUAAGAAUUCCUCCUAAAAGUAAUAGCUACAGUGCCAUAAACUGACAUAAUUCCAAUGUAGUUUAGACACACACACACACAUACAUACACUAUAUAUUGUAUAAAUAUUUACACAUCUACACACUUACACACAUACAUAUAACACACACACACACAAAAUGUACAUGCCUAUAUAUCUCUCUAGAAGUACGUAGAUAAACAUAUAUAUAUAUAUAGACUAUAGCGGAUGUGUUUCAGAGUUUUCAUAAAUGAUUUGAAGUAUUUCACUUAGACAAAUAGAAAUCUAUUUUACUUGGCAUAUUAUAAUCUAUCCUUUGUUUUCCUUUUUGGCAAUAAAUGUAUAGACAACAAAUAAUAUAUAUAUAUAUAUAAAUAUUCACGCACUGUAUUCAAUAUCUUGUGUGGAUGAAGUGCGCUGAUAUACUACACAUCAGCGACAAUUAAAAAACACCGAUAUUUAAAUUUAAAUCCAACAUAUAUAUAUGUGUGUAUAUGCUUUUGAUAUUUGAAUAUAAAACACACAUAGAUACAUACGUAUAUACACGUAUAUACACAAGCGAUAUUUGAUGUUGGGAAUGAAAUACACGUAUCUGCACUGACUCUUUUGUAUCUAUGAUAGAAACACAUUUUCAUGGAUAUUUUUAUAAAUAACCUCUGCUAUUUAGUCCGUUGGGUAUUUCCACCUCAUGGGGUAAUUCUUGUGUAAGCGGUAGUUGUAGAAAUAACAAUAUAAUUAUAAUACCACUAACCAGCAACGUCAGUGUGUAAAUAUAAAGAAUUGAAAAAAUACAAAUAAGGGGUAUUUAUUUACUUGUUGACUUAUUUGUCUUCACUCACACGACUUUUCCCAUUGUUGAAUUAUUGGGGAAAGGAUAUUUACUCAACAUUUUAAAAUAGAAUCGGUUCACAGGGGUGGUUUUAGUUAGUGUGUAAAGCAAAGGAAAGUAAACUAAUAAUUUUUGUUUGUUUUUCUUAGAAUCGUUCAGCAUUGAGAAAUUCUCACACACACCCUUUCUUGUAAAACAGUAAACAUAAUAAGAUAUACUUACAUUAACCAGAAAAUACUAUAAAUUAAAAACAGUUGAAAAAAUGAAAAAAAAGGAGGAAUAAAGAAAAAAGGAUAGCAAUUUAAUUAGAAAUAUAUUAAAAAAAAAAAACAUUGCCUACUAAGCACCUGUUAAGCCCUUCCUUAAGAGUUUGGUCCUUGUUUCAGUCCCGACUGUAGUCUGGACUAGCUUUUGACAUGGGCUUUCUCUUUUCAAAACUGUGGAGUUUAUUCACCAACGAAGAGCACAAGGUGAUAAUUGUUGGAUUAGACAAUGCUGGUAAAACAACUAUUUUAUACCAAUUUCUGAUGAAUGAAGUGGUUCACACAUCUCCAACAAUUGGGAGCAAUGUGGAAGAAGUGAUAUGGAAAAAUAUCCGUUUUCUAAUGUGGGAUAUUGGUGGUCAAGAAUCUUUACGUUCUGCUUGGAACACUUAUUACACAAAUGCUGAGUUUGUGAUUCUUGUUGUGGACAGCUGUGAUCGAGAACGGUUAUCAAUUACCAAACAAGAACUUUAUACAAUGCUAGCUCAUGAGGAUUUGCGUAAAUCUGCCAUGUUGAUUCUGGCUAACAAACAAGACAUCAAGGGCUCCAUGUCUGCUGCUGAGAUCUCCCAACAACUCAAUUUGACCUCAAUAAAGGACCACGUAUGGCACAUUCAGGCCUGCUGUGCUCUUACAGGCGAAGGGUUGUACCAAGCUCUUGACUGGCUCGGAAACCAACUUUGGCGGAGAUGAUAGUUGUGUGUGUAGGAUGUCAUUUCCCAUUGUUCUCAUUAUAAUAAACAUCAUCAUUAUCAUCAUUGCCAUCACCACUACUACCGCCAUCACCACUACUACUAUCAUCAACAUCAUUGUCAUCAUCAUCUCCAUCAGUAUAGGCAUCACAGCCACAGCAGCAUUAUUAGCUGCCGUUUAUGGCUGCUAUCUGUCGCAGCCUGCUGAACAAGAAGAACUUGCUAAUUGUGUAUAAACUAAAUCCAUCAUGGAAUCCAUUCGUUGUCGUCCUGUUUUAUGGCUAUCAAUUCCAGGGGCAAACAACAACAACAACAACAACAACUGGAGGAAAAAAGAAGAAACUGGCAUUUGGGGAAGCAGCAAAAUGUUUUCAUCCCCUCUUAUAACCAACAAAUUCAGUUAAUAGAACAAAUUUUGGGUGUUGUCAACAAAAAUGAAUAAAUAAAACGGGAAGAAGGAAACUGCCAGCGACUGCCCCUGUCUUCAUCUUUUCAUUCUUUUCCUUCUCAUCUUGCUUCUCUUCUUUCAUUUUAAAGACAAGUGAAUAAAUCAGGGAAUAAGGUGGGGAUUUUAAUUGCUGGAAAGUAACAAAAAACAAACAAAAAGAAAAAGAAAGGAAAGAAAGAAAGCAACAAUGAACUUUAAAAAAAAAUGUACUGACUGGUUUAAGGAAAGGAAAAC
This 3024-nucleotide unclassified non-coding RNA is filed under the name Octopus sinensis (East Asian common octopus). RNAcentral describes it as "aDP-ribosylation factor-like protein 5B, transcript variant X3". The record is from RNAcentral. Lineage: Eukaryota; Metazoa; Mollusca; Cephalopoda; Octopoda; Octopodidae.